UUCCGGUUGAUCCUGCCGGACUUGACUGCUAUCGGAUUGAUACUAAGCCAUGCGAGUCAUUGUAGCAAUACAAGGCAUACGGCUCAGUAACGCGUAGUCAACCUAACCUAUGGACGGGAAUAACCUCGGGAAACUGAGAAUAAUGCCCGAUAGAACAUUAUGCCUGGAAUGGUUUAUGUUCCAAAUGAUUUAUCGCCGUAGGAUGGGACUGCGGCCUAUCAGUUUGUUGGUGAGGUAAUGGCCCACCAAGACUAUUACAGGUACGGGCUCUGAGAGGAGUAGCCCGGAGAUGGGUACUGAGACACGGACCCAGGCCCUAUGGGGCGCAGCAGGCGAGAAAACUUUGCAAUGUGCGAAAGCACGACAAGGUUAAUCCGAGUGAUUUCUGCUAAAGAGAUCUUUUGUUAGUCCUAGAAACACUAACGAAUAAGGGGUGGGCAAGUUCUGGUGUCAGCCGCCGCGGUAAAACCAGCACCUCAAGUGGUCAGGAUGAUUAUUGGGCCUAAAGCAUCCGUAGCCGGUUCUGUAAGUUUUCGGUUUAAUCUGUACGCUUAACGUACAGGCUGCCGGGAAUACUGCAGAACUAGGGAGUGGGAGAGGUAGACGGUACUCGGUAGGAAGGGGUAAAAUCCUUUGAUCUAUCGAUGACCACCUGUGGCGAAGGCGGUCUACCAGAACAUGUCCGACGGUGAGGGAUGAAAGCUGGGGGAGCAAACCGGAUUAGAUACCCGGGUAGUCCCAGCUGUAAACUAUGCAAACUCAGUGAUGCGUUGGCUUGUGGCCAACGCAGUGCUGCAGGGAAGCCGUUAAGUUUGCCGCCUGGGAAGUACGUACGCAAGUAUGAAACUUAAAGGAAUUGGCGGGGGAGCACCACAAGGGGUGAAGCCUGCGGUUCAAUUGGAUUCAACGCCGGA
Molecule: ribosomal RNA, 914 nt
Filed under: uncultured archaeon
Lineage: Archaea
Description: bacterial SSU rRNA
Rfam family: Archaeal small subunit ribosomal RNA
Source: RNAcentral